GAAACCACCUCUAGAAGGACAGGAAAAAUAAUAUAUAUUGAUUUCAUGAGUUCAAUAAAUCUAUUGAAAAUGAAAAACACCUUUUUUUAAUAAUGAUUUUGGCUGAAAAACAUGUAAGUGAAUGGAACUACUCAAUAGAAAAUACUACUAAAUUGGGCAUUGCCUAUACCUUAAAUUCUUAUCUAUUACAAAUUUACUAACACUUUGUUUGUUUUGAGGGCAGUGCGCAGAAAAGAAAAGAAAAAUCAUUUCCGUACUUUCUUUUGUUUGAAAAAGUUAUUAGAGAAACGAAA
RNAcentral lists this unclassified non-coding RNA (293 nucleotides) under Hevea brasiliensis (rubber tree). Lineage: Eukaryota; Viridiplantae; Streptophyta; Magnoliopsida; Malpighiales; Euphorbiaceae. The record is from RNAcentral.